CAGCAGCCACGGUAAAACGAAGGGGGCUAGCGUUGCUCGGAAUUACUGGGCGUAAAGGGAGCGUAGGCGGAUCGUUUAGUCAGGGGUGAAAUCCCGGGGCUCAACCUCGGAACUGCCUUUGAUACUGGCGAUCUUGAGUAUGGGAGAGGUGUGUGGAACUCCGAGUGUAGAGGUGAAAUUCGUAGAUAUUCGGAAGAACACCAGUGGCGAAGGCGACACACUGGCCCAUUACUGACGCUGAGGCUCGAAAGCGUGGGGAGCAAACAGGAUUAGAUACCCGCGUAGUCCCUGUCUCUUAUAC
This 301-nucleotide ribosomal RNA is filed under the name uncultured bacterium. RNAcentral describes it as "partial 16S ribosomal RNA". It matches the Rfam family "Bacterial small subunit ribosomal RNA", at positions 509 to 807 of the family's 1533-position model. The record is from RNAcentral.